Molecule: long non-coding RNA, 532 nt
Filed under: Mytilus galloprovincialis (Mediterranean mussel)
Lineage: Eukaryota; Metazoa; Mollusca; Bivalvia; Mytilida; Mytilidae
Source: RNAcentral
GGCGACUACUUAAAUAGUAGAAUAUUUUUUAUAGCAUUAACAUCAUAUAAUGGGAAAAAAUUGGGAAGAGACGUUCUUUGGCAAAACACUGGUUGGAGAUGGGGUGGGGGGGGGGGUGGGGGUGGUGGCUCUUUGCAGAAAACUAAAUGCUCCAGGAGCCUGUGUCGCGCGCCUGAUAUUUGUUUUUUUUUUUACAAUUUAUGGAUGAAAUAAUGCAACCAUUAUUCUUUUGCUUUAGUUUCAGAGAUGUAAUAAAAAAACUGCCUUUUAUUCCUAUGUUCUAUUUUUAGCCAUCUCAGCCAUUUUGGUUGGCAGGCAUAUUUUUUAAACUCGAUACCCUAAUGAUGAUUGCAGCCUUUGUCUCAGUUGUUUCAGAGGAAAAGAAUUUUGUAAUUACAAAAAAUUACAAAAAAUUGUUAAAAAUUGACUUUAAAUGGCAAUAACUCCUUUAAAGGUCAAAUGACAAUUUUGAUCAUGGAAACUUAAUUGUAGAUUUGACUUUGCUGAACAUUAUUGCUGUUUACAGUUUAUC